Betta splendens (Siamese fighting fish) is the source of this 3115-nucleotide long non-coding RNA. RefSeq lists it as uncharacterized. The record is from RefSeq and is a predicted model, not a curated record. Lineage: Eukaryota; Metazoa; Chordata; Actinopteri; Anabantiformes; Osphronemidae. The transcript is spliced from 5 exons.
GUAUAUGUUUAGAGAGAGGAGAGACGGAGCAAAAGCACCGAAAAGAGCCCAGACAGACGCGGGAGAAAAGAAAGCGGGUGAGUCAGGAAGGGAAAGAAAGACAGAAGGAAAGACUGAGUCACAGAGAUAAAGCGCAGGGGGAGCAAGGCAGCGAGACAAGGACGGCUGAGAGCACGAACAGAACCUGGAGACGGGUCCAAUCAUCAGUGUGGACACGCAGUAAAGACAGGCAAAGUCAUGUAUGACAGGACGCACAGGCUGCAGCGAGCGGAGCCGGACGCCUGCGAAGCUGCUGUGAGAAUAAUCCUGCUGAGAUCAAAGCUGCCACAAAUGGACAUGUAUGUAAAGUGCUGGCCGGCCCCGGGCCCCAUUAGCCUCUGCUUUUUGUUUUGCAUCUCCCUGCUCCAGGCGGCGCUCACAGUGUGUGUGGACGCGCCGGUCCUGCUCCGUCCAAACGCUCACAUGAAAUUUCUCCUUUUAAGCAAAGAAAUGUCACAGUGGAGUAAUUUGCGUCUGGUGGGUGAGAUAGUGCAGGAUGCUGCUGACUAGCGGCAGGAACGCGUGUGUGUGUGUGUGUGUGUGUGUGUGUGUGUGUGUGUGUGUGUGUGUGUGUGUGUGUGUGUGUGUGUGUGUGUGUGUGUCUGUGUGUGUGUGUGUGUGUCUGUGUGUGUGUGUGUGCGUGUGUGUGUGCGCGCGCGCGUGUGUGUGUGUGUGUGUGUGUGUGUGUGUGUGUGUGUGUGUGUGUGUGUGUGUGCGUGUGUGAGUGAGAUCAGCAGCUCUUGGUUCAAGUUCACGUCUUUCUCUCCUCUCCUUCGCUCCUCUUGACCUGUUUACGCGUCGACGUGCGGCGCAUGCGCGUGACGCUCCGCCGUAUUCGCAGUCAGUCUGAGAGAAACGCUGGAAAGUACAGGCGAACAGCGACACUUCGCUUCACUUUCAGAGACGCACACGUGCACGCGCCAGCGAUCGGCCACGCAUGCGGACGCAACCAACGUGGACAGAAAAGGACAAACGCUGUGCUGCAGUUGGUGUAGGAUGAGCUGCUCUGAAGCUGCCAACACACGAUGCACCAUUAUCUUCUCUGGGCACCGGGAAAAGGCAUAAAUGGCGACUUACAGUGUGUGGGAACCUACAGGGACGAGGCUGGACCACGCUGAUGCUUCUGGACCACGCUGGAUCCGGUCCAGGCUGCACGGGUUCCGCUGCUGUGGAGCUUUCGGGCUUGGAGGAUGGUGCUCGGUGAAGCUGUGAACCCCUUCAACCUCUUCCUCUUCUCCCCUCUUUCCAGACAUUCGCAGUGGAUGAGACGCGUGAUGCGAAGCACCAGCUGUUGGAAGGAAGCAAGUGAAAAACAGUGUGAGACCAGACAUCAGUAUCCUCCUGAAAUCCCUCCACAAUAACAAACUCUUGAUCAGAGAUCAUUUUCCACAUUGAUUCUCUUCCUUCCUUUCACAUGUCUGAGGUCAGUGCAUGUAUAUGUUGUGCAGCUGCAGACACAUCCUGAACCCUGUGAGCUCCACAGGAACAUCACACAGACCUCGUCCGGUUAAAGUUUAGAAACAAUAAUUAAAUGUGGAUCUCAAAUCUUUGUGCAGCUCUUCUCAGGUCAGUGUCUGAUUUUCUCUGCUGUCAAUAAGACGUCUGACUUCAUCAGGACGCAUGUGAUGUGUUUGUUAUCACGAGUAAUGAGCUGCUCUCAGUUGCUCUGUGCACCUAUAUGUAAUUAUAACAUAAUUGGACAAUGAUUGUUGAGGGACGUCUGCAGCGUCUCCAGGCCUCAGGUCAGCAGUCUUCACUCGUCAGCCGCCCCAGAACGCAGUGAUUCAAUGUCAGUGACUAGUGGAUAAUUCAGUAGCUGUUUUCACUGUGCAGGCGUGAACUUCAAGCCAUUUAAACCCGUGGUUUCGCUAGUUUGUUGUGUUUGUACAUUUCUGUGGUGGAUGUGGACAAACAGCAUGUUCCCUCCACAUCCGCCUUGUUGAGGACUUUCUGUCACAUAGAAGGAAGCUCAUGCACAAUUAAAAAUCUCCACAAGUGGAAGGAACAAAAAAACAGAGUCUGAAGAGUCGGAGAGAAGUCGAGGGGAGAAGCUCAUUUGUGCUUGUUGUCGCCUCUCGGAGAAGCGUCGGGUUGUCAGGAGGUUGAGGGGAGGGGUGAAAGCACUCUGCGGAUGGGGCCUCACCCACGCAUCACCCAUUUACUCCCAUCAGAAGCAGGGGUGGCGACAGCGAGCGCCGGAGUGCUGUCGAGGAGGAAUCCAGAAGAUCUGAGCGCUGGGUGUGUUUGUGUAAGUGGUUGAGGGAGCUGCGAGUCUGACUUUGGCUUGUUGAACACCAGCGCUGCGCUGUUUGCUCUUCCAAAGAGGUGCACGCUGGCAGAAUUACUGCAUAUUGCCUAUGACAGCGAUAACGACUCGCCGCAUAUUGGGAUUAUACUGCUUUGUGAAGUCUUGGCACCCAGUCUAUUAAAUAUGCAUGAAUGUUUGAAAUGAAUUUUGGAGGACCCCCUCCCCUUCGCUGCCCCCUCCUCCUCAUUGUCAAACUAUAUAAUCAUAUUCCUGUCUAUUAAAAUUCGGAUGAAUAAUUUAAAUGUGUGACAACAGCCAGGCUCUAAAAGAGAAGGUUUCUGUUCGGCAGCUGGCAGACAAGGUUGCUUUUGAUGAGCGAUGCAUGCUAAAUUGACAUUGUUGUGGUGGGAAAAAAAAGCAAAGCAAAACAAUAAAAGAAAAAAGCAAUGCACCAAAAAUCUCACCCCAGUGAAAUGUGUGAGCGAGUGACACAGAAACACGUUGGCAGACAUGAAAAAUUCAGCAAGGUUACGCGAAGCGGCGGCGGCAGGUGGAGGCUGCUCCUCGAUCGGUGGUUGUUUGGCGCAGUUUCACUCCAGUCAGACGACUUCAUCGGCCUGACAGCUGUGCAGAACGUAGGCUAGAGUUUAACAAACGCAAACAAACACAGCAUUUGUACCAGGCGCUUUGUACAAAUGGGGCGUGACAGCGACGGCAAAUCAGACAGGAAGCCGUCGACAGCGUCCGGCCGUCUGACACCUGACGGCCGGACAGGAAGUGAAGAAUCAGAGGGAUCCGCCUCCAUGGUCGUUAAAGCGUCUCCUGUAA